CUUAGUGAUUCCCCUAGUUCGGUAUUUCAUUUUUUUUCACUAUACUAUAUCACCUCCUCUCAUAAAUAGCCAUUAUAAAUCUUGCAUUUUCUCUAAUGGAAACCCUUCUAAAGCCUUUUCCAUCUCCUUUACUUUCCAUUCCUACUCCUAACAUGUAUAGUUUCAAACACAACUCCACUUUUCCAAAUCCAACCAAACAAAAAGAUUCAAGAAAGUUCCAUUAUAGAAACAAAAGCAGUACACAUUUUUGUAGCUUUCUUGAUUUAGCACCCACAUCAAAGCCAGAGUCUUUAGAUGUUAACAUCUCAUGGGUUGAUACUGAUCUGGACGGGGCUGAAUUCGACGUGAUCAUCAUUGGAACUGGCCCUGCCGGGCUUCGGCUAGCUGAACAAGUUUCUAAAUAUGGUAUUAAGGUAUGUUGCGUUGACCCUUCACCACUUUCCAUGUGGCCAAAUAAUUAUGGUGUUUGGGUUGAUGAGUUUGAAAAGUUGGGAUUAGAAGAUUGUCUAGAUCAUAAGUGGCCUGUGAGUUGUGUUCAUAUAAGUGAUCACAAGACUAAGUAUUUGGACAGACCAUAUGGUAGAGUAAGUAGAAAGAAGUUGAAGUUGAAAUUGUUGAAUAGUUGUGUUGAAAAUAGAGUGAAGUUUUAUAAAGCCAAGGUUUUGAAAGUGAAGCAUGAAGAAUUUGAGUCUUCGAUUGUUUGUGAUGAUGGUAGGAAGAUAAGCGGUAGCUUGAUUGUUGAUGCAAGUGGCUAUGCUAGUGAUUUUAUAGAGUAUGACAAGCCAAGAAACCAUGGUUAUCAAGUUGCUCAUGGGAUUUUAGCAGAAGUUGAUAAUCAUCCAUUUGAUUUGGAUAAAAUGAUGCUUAUGGAUUGGAGGGAUUCUCAUUUAGGUAAUGAGCCAUAUCUGAGGGUGAAGAAUACUAAAGAACCAACAUUCUUGUAUGCAAUGCCAUUUGAUAGGAAUUUGGUAUUCUUGGAAGAGACUUCUUUAGUGAGUCGGCCUAUGUUAUCGUAUAUGGAAGUGAAAAGAAGGAUGGUAGCAAGAUUAAGACAUUUGGGGAUCAAAGUGAGAAGUGUCCUUGAGGAAGAGAAGUGUGUGAUCACUAUGGGAGGACCACUUCCGCGGAUUCCUCAAAAUGUUAUGGCUAUUGGUGGGACUUCAGGGAUAGUUCAUCCAUCGUCUGGGUACAUGGUGGCUCGUAGCAUGGCAUUGGCACCAGUACUGGCUGAGGCCAUCGUCGAAAGCCUUGGCUCAACAAGAAUGAUAAGAGGGUCUCAACUUUACCAUAGAGUUUGGAAUGGUUUGUGGCCUUCGGAUAGAAGACGUGUUAGAGAAUGUUAUUGUUUCGGAAUGGAGACUUUGUUGAAGCUUGAUUUGGAAGGUACUAGGAGAUUGUUUGAUGCUUUCUUUGAUGUUGAUCCCAAGUACUGGCACGGGUUCCUUUCUUCAAGAUUGUCUGUCAAAGAACUUGCUGUACUCAGUUUGUACCUUUUUGGACAUGCCUCUAAUUUGGCUAGGUU
RNAcentral lists this long non-coding RNA (1522 nucleotides) under Capsicum annuum. Its description in RNAcentral is "long non-coding RNA (CANN_LNC009214)". Lineage: Eukaryota; Viridiplantae; Streptophyta; Magnoliopsida; Solanales; Solanaceae. The record is from RNAcentral.